Ruditapes philippinarum (Manila clam) is the source of this 230-nucleotide long non-coding RNA. RefSeq lists it as uncharacterized. The transcript has 3 exons. The record is from RefSeq and is a predicted model, not a curated record. Lineage: Eukaryota; Metazoa; Mollusca; Bivalvia; Venerida; Veneridae.
AUGGUUGCAAUCCACCAGUGUUAGAAUCCAUACAGAAAUUGUACCCUGAUUUAUUUGACUAUGGUGAUGAUAUAAGAAACCUCAAAAUGAAUGUAAGAAUCAAGUUUAAGAGUAAAAACUCUCAAAGUCUGGGUGAUCUAUUCCUGGGUAUGCUCAAAUAUUACAGUGUGGAAUUCAGUUUUGAUGAUGAUGUGAUAAGUGUGAGACACAGGGAACUAAACUACCAUUAC